This 594-nucleotide long non-coding RNA is filed under the name Oryza brachyantha (malo sina). RNAcentral's name for it is "long non-coding RNA (OBRA_LNC001082)". The record is from RNAcentral. Lineage: Eukaryota; Viridiplantae; Streptophyta; Magnoliopsida; Poales; Poaceae.
GUGAAUAUCAAUUGGUGAAAAAUUAUGGUGUCCGAACAUUCACACUAUAUAUAUACUAUGGAAUAUGGUCAACCUAGCUCAUACAUAUAGAGUUCCAUGAGCUACCAGAAUAAAAGAUUACGGAAACUAGAACAACGCUCUCUACUAUCUACUAGGAAAGAGAGUUAUCAGGAAAUCAGGUCUUUCAAAAUAUGGAAGAUAAAGAACGAUCAAUGCUGAAUAGCUACAGAAGUAGAGGUAAAAUAUAGUGCAUAUUUAGGGGCUAGCUUGGUGAAGUGAUGAUAUAGAUAGUGGCUGGCUUGGGGGAGAUUGGAAGGAAAUAUGCAAAUGAAAGAGGAAAAUGCAAGAGGGUAUAAUGGAUUUGGAGAACUACUUUAAAAAUAUAACAGUUCAUAGAUGAUACAUCAAUAUUAAUGUAACAACAUUGAUAAGUUUUUCAAAUAAAUAUACAUCCCAUGGCAUAUAUCAUGGCAUUCAUUGAACUCACACCCCCUGUAAGUUUAUUUGUGUCACACUAUUGUUUGCAAUGUUCAAAAGAAAUCAUCAAUCCAUUUUUGCAUUGUUUCACUAUGAAUGCUUAGCACAAAUGGGAUA